RNAcentral lists this ribosomal RNA (468 nucleotides) under uncultured bacterium. Its description in RNAcentral is "partial 16S ribosomal RNA". It matches the Rfam family "Bacterial small subunit ribosomal RNA", at positions 28 to 507 of the family's 1533-position model. The record is from RNAcentral.
GACGAACGCUGGCGGCGUGCUUAACACAUGCAAGUCGAACGGAAAGGCCCUGCUUUUGUGGGGUGCUCGAGUGGCGAACGGGUGAGUAACACGUGAGUAACCUGCCCUUGACUUUGGGAUAACUUCAGGAAACUGGGGCUAAUACCGGAUAGGAGCUCCUGCUGCAUGGUGGGGGUUGGAAAGUUUCGGCGGUUGGGGAUGGACUCGCGGCUUAUCAGCUUGUUGGUGGGGUAGUGGCUUACCAAGGCUUUGACGAGUAGCCGGCCUGAGAGGGUGACCGGCCACAUUGGGACUGGGAUACGGCCCAGACUCCUACGGGAGGCAGCAGUGGGGAAUAUUGCACAAUGGGCGGAAGCCUGAUGCAGCAACGCCGCGUGCGGGAUGACGGCCUUCGGGUUGUAAACCGCUUUCGCCUGUGACGAAGCGUGAGUGACGGUAAUGGGUAAAGAAGCACCGGCUAACUACGUG